This 405-nucleotide ribosomal RNA is filed under the name uncultured bacterium. Its description in RNAcentral is "partial 16S ribosomal RNA". It matches the Rfam family "Bacterial small subunit ribosomal RNA", at positions 29 to 526 of the family's 1533-position model. The record is from RNAcentral.
AGUGAACGCUGCGGCAGGCUUAAUACAUGCAAGUCGAGCGAGCGGCGGACGGGUGAGUAAUGCUUAGGAAUCUGCCUAUUAGUGGUGGACAACAUCUCGCAAGGGAUGCUAAUACCGCAUACUAUUAGAGGAGACUCAGUCGGAUUAGGUAGUUGGUGGGGUAAAGGCCUACCAAGACGACGAUCUGUAUAGGGUCUGAGAGGAUGAUCCGCCACACUGGGACUGGGACACGGCCCAGACUCCUACGGGAGGCAGCAGUGGGGAAUAUUGGACAAUGGGGGGAACCCUGAUCCAGCCAUGCCGCGUGUGUGAAGAAGGCCUUAUGGUUGUAAAGCACUUUAAGCGAGGAGGCGUUACUCGCAGAAUAAGCACCGGCUAACUCUGUGCCAGCAGCCGCGGUAAUUC